This 73-nucleotide transfer RNA is filed under the name Camelus dromedarius (Arabian camel). It matches the Rfam family "tRNA". Rfam says of the family: Transfer RNA (tRNA) molecules are approximately 80 nucleotides in length. Their secondary structure includes four short double-helical elements and three loops (D, anti-codon, and T loops). Further hydrogen bonds mediate the characteristic L-shaped molecular structure. tRNAs have two regions of fundamental functional importance: the anti-codon, which is responsible for specific mRNA codon recognition, and the 3' end, to which the tRNAs corresponding amino acid is attached (by aminoacyl-tRNA synthetases). tRNAs cope with the degeneracy of the genetic code in two manners: having more than one tRNA (with a specific anti-codon) for a particular amino acid; and 'wobble' base-pairing, i.e. permitting non-standard base-pairing at the 3rd anti-codon position. RNAcentral also lists the same sequence under 1 other name. The record is from Rfam by way of RNAcentral. Lineage: Eukaryota; Metazoa; Chordata; Mammalia; Artiodactyla; Camelidae.
AAGGGUAUAGCUCAGUAGUAGGGUACCAUGCUUAGCAUGCACGAGGUCCUGGGUUCAAUCCCCAGUGCCUCCA